ACCAGGUAGACUAAUGACAUAGAUGACCAGGUAGACUAAUGACAUAGAUGACCAGGUAGACUAAUGACAUAGAUGACCAGGUGGAGUAAUGACAUAGAUGACCAGGUGGAGUAAUGACAUAGAUGUCCAGGUGGAGUAAUGACAUAGAUGACCAGGUGGACUAAUGGCAUAGAUGAACAGGUGGACUAAUGACAUAGAUGAACAGGUGGAGUAAUGACAGAGAUGACCAGGUGGACUAAUGACAGAGAUGACCAGGUGGACUAAUGACAUAGAUGACCACGUGGACUAAUGACAGAGAUGAACAGGUGGACUAAUGACAGAGAUGACCAGGUGGACUAAUGACAUAGAUGAACAGGUGGAGUAAUGACAGAGAUGACCAGGUGGACUAAUGACAGAGAUGACCACGUGGACUAAUGACAGAGAUGACCAGGUGGACUAAUGACAGAGAUGACCAGGUGGAUUAAUGACAGAGAUGACCAGGUGGACUAAUGACAGAGAUGACCAGGUGGACUAAUGACAUAG
Esox lucius (northern pike) is the source of this 522-nucleotide long non-coding RNA. The record is from Ensembl. Lineage: Eukaryota; Metazoa; Chordata; Actinopteri; Esociformes; Esocidae.